AGCUCCAAUAGCGUAUAUUAAAGUUGUUGCAGUUAAAAAGCUCGUAGUCUGAUGUGUGGCGUUCACGUGGCGGUUCGCGUCGACGUGCGGUCGCGCAAGCGUCCCGUACGCGCCGACACUGUCCGUGAUCGCCUCCUAUAGCCGGUUGUCGCUCGUCGGUGCUCUUAGCUGAGUGUCGCAGCGUUGCGCCGGGCUUGUUUACCUUGAAAAAAUUAGAGUGUUCAAGGCAGGCCGCUAGCGCCUGAAUAUCUGUGCAUGGAAUAAUGGAAUAGGAUCUCGGUUCUAUUCUGUUGGUCUUCGGAACGUCGAGAUAAUGAUUAAUAGGGACAGACGGGGGCAUUCGUAUUGCGGCGUUAGAGGUGAAAUUCUUGGAUCGUCGCAAGACGGCCUACAGCGAAAGCAUUUGCCAGGUAUGUUU
RNAcentral lists this ribosomal RNA (418 nucleotides) under uncultured eukaryote. Its description in RNAcentral is "SSU rRNA". It matches the Rfam family "Eukaryotic small subunit ribosomal RNA", at positions 587 to 969 of the family's 1831-position model. The record is from RNAcentral.